AGAGUUUGAUCCUGGCUCAGAACUAACGCUGGCGGUGUGUCUUAGUCAUGCAAGUCGCACGAGAAAGCACUCUUCGGAGUGCAAGUACAGUGGCGGACGGGUGAGUAACACGUGGGAAAUCUGCCCUCAAGUUGGGGACAACCCGCCUAACGGCGGGCUAAUACCGAAUGUGGUUCCUGCUUCGCAUGUGGCGAGAACUAAAGGUGGCCUAUCCUUGGAAGCUACCGCUUGUGGAUGAUCCCGCGCUCGAUUAGCUAGUUGGUAAGGUAACGGCUUACCAAGGCGACGAUCGAUAGCCGGCCUGAGAGGGCGAUCGGCCACACUGGGAUUGAGAUAAGGCCCAGUCUCCUACGGGAGCCAGCAGUCUAGAAAUUUGGGCAAUGGGCGAAAGCCUGACCCAGCGACACCGCGUGGGGGAUGAAGCUCCUCGGAGUGUAAACCCCUGUUAGGUGGGACGAAUCCCCGAUUGCAAAUAGUGAUCGGGGUUGACGGUACCACCAGAGGAAGCUCCGGCUAACUCCGUGCCAGCAGCCGCGGUAAUACGGGGGGAGCGAGCGUUGUUCGGAUUUAUUGGGCGUAAAGGGCGUACAGGCGGUGGUGUAAGUCAGAUGUGAAAUGCUCCGGCUCAACCGGGGAUCUGCAUUUGAUACUGCAUUACUUGAGUACAGGAGAGGAGAGCGGAAUUCUAGGUGUAGCGGUGGAAUGUGUAGAUAUCUGGAAGAACACCAGUGGCGAAGGCGGCUCUCUGGCCUGAUACUGACGCUGACGCGCGAAAGCUAGGGGAGCAAACAGGAUUAGAUACCCUGGUAGUCCUAGCUGUAAACGUUGGGCACUAGGUGUUGGGGGUAUCGACCCCCUCAGUGCCGAAGCUAACGCAUUAAGUGCCCCGCCUGGGGAGUACGGCCGCAAGGCU
RNAcentral lists this ribosomal RNA (913 nucleotides) under marine metagenome. Its description in RNAcentral is "bacterial SSU rRNA". It matches the Rfam family "Bacterial small subunit ribosomal RNA", at positions 8 to 895 of the family's 1533-position model. The record is from RNAcentral.